UACGACUACAUAUCAGGCAUAUCAAUAAGCGGAGGAAAAGAAACUAACAAGGAUUCCCCUAGUAACGGCGAGUGAAGCGGGAAGAGCUCAAAUUUGAAAUCUUAAAGGGUUUCCCUUUACGAAUUGUAGUUUAAAGAAGUGUUUUCUGUUGGAGUUUCGGUAAAAGUUCUUUGGAAUAGGACAUCAUAGAGGGUGAGAAUCCCGUAUUUGACCGUUACUUUCCAGCUGUGUGAUACACUUUCAAAGAGUCGGAUUGUUUGGGAAUGCAGUCCAAGAUGGGUGGUAAAUUUCAUCUAAAGCUAAAUAUUGGCGAGAGACCGAUAGCGAACAAGUACCGUGAGGGAAAGAUGAAAAGAACUUUGAAAAGAGAGUUAAACAGUACGUGAAAUUGUCAAAAGGGAAGCGUUUGACACCAGUGUUGUUUAGUUGAAAAUCAAUUCAAUAGUUUUUGAUUCUAAGUAGUAUUGACUUCAUCAGCUUGCUGCUUUCUUCUCAGAAAUUAUUGAAUGCACUUUUCAGUUAACAAGUCAACAUCAAUUUCUUCUGUUGUAAAAGGGUAAGAGGAAGGUGGCUUGCGCUUCGGCUCAAGUGUUUAUAGCCUUUUAUCUCUGCAAUCGGAGAGAUUGAGGUCUGCAGCGUAGAUCCUUCGGGGUUAGAUACAUUGGUGCUAAGCUAUAGCCUUGUAUAGACAACUUGUUGACUAUGCUCAGUCAUGUAGCUUACUCGCUGAUGCUAUUUUACCUACGCUUAGGAUGUUGAGUAGCGACAUACGCAC
RNAcentral lists this ribosomal RNA (775 nucleotides) under uncultured Neocallimastigales. RNAcentral's name for it is "partial large subunit ribosomal RNA". It matches the Rfam family "Eukaryotic large subunit ribosomal RNA", at positions 24 to 649 of the family's 3401-position model. Lineage: Eukaryota; Fungi; Neocallimastigomycota; Neocallimastigomycetes; Neocallimastigales. The record is from RNAcentral.